Molecule: ribosomal RNA, 1925 nt
Filed under: metagenome
Description: bacterial LSU rRNA
Rfam family: Bacterial large subunit ribosomal RNA
Source: RNAcentral
AGACUGCGAUAAGCUGUGGGGAGGAGUCAAUAUCCUNUGAUCCGCAGAUCUCCGAAUGGGGAAACCCACCACAUUUUAGUGGUAUCUUUGUUUGAAUACAUAGAGCAAAGAAGCAAACCUGGCGAACUGAAACAUCUAAGUAGCCAGAGGAAAGGAAAUCAAAGAGACUCCGUUAGUAGUGGCGAGCGAACGCGGACCAGGCCAGUAAUCAGAAAGCUUUAACUAAAAUCCUUUGGAAAAUGGAACGAAACAGGGUGAUAGUCCCGUAUAGGUAAAAAGCAGAAAGAUUCUUGAGUAGGGCGGGACACGCGAAAUCCUGUCUGAAUAUGGGGAGACCACUCUCCAAGCCUAAGUACUACUCAGUGACCGAUAGUGAACAAGUACCGUGAGGGAAAGGUGAAAAGAACCCCGAGCAGGGGAGUGAAAUAGAUCCUGAAACUGAAUGCUUACAAGCAGUCGGAGCAGUUUUUCUUUUUUUAUUGUGUCUUUCUGAUACAGUUAAGAAAGUUCUUCUGUGACGGCGUACCUCUUGUAUCAUGGGUCAGCGAGUUCGUUGGUAAAGCAAGCUUAAGCCGUUAGGUGUAGGCGUAGCGAAAGCGAGUCUGAAUAGGGCGAAUAGUUUUACUAAUGAGACCCGAAACCAGGUGAUCUAUCUAUGAGCAGGCUGAAGAUGCGGUAACACGUGUUGGAGGGCCGAACCAUAUCCUGUUGCAAAAGGUGUGGAUGACUUGUGGAUAGGGGUGAAAGGCCAAUCAAACCUGGAAAUAGCUGGUUCUCCGCGAAAUCUAUUUAGGUAGAGCGUUGAGUGUUUCUUUUGGGGGGUAGAGCACUGAAUGGGCUAGGGGGAAGAAAUUCUUACCAAACCCAAACAAACUCCGAAUACCCAAAAGCCAAGCUCAGCAGACAGACAGCGGGUGAUAACGUCCGUUGUCGAGAGGGAAACAACCCUGAUCGCCGUUUAAGGUCCCCAAAUUGUGGCUAAGUGUAAAAGGAAGUGAAUUGACCAAGACAGCUAGGAGGUUGGCUUAGAAGCAGCCAUCCUUUAAAGAAAGCGUAAUAGCUCACUAGUCUAAUUAAGUCGAUUUGCGCCGAAAAUGUAACGGGGCUAAAGCCACAUACCGAAAGCGCGAGUGUGUUUUUGUCGCUGACAAAAGCAUGCAGUAGCGGAGCGUUCCGUACGUCGUUGAAGAAAGAGCGAGAGCUUUUUUGGAGAUAUCGGAAGUGAGAAUGCUGACAUGAGUAACGUAAAGAAGUGUGAAAAACACUUCCGCCGAAAGUCCAAGGGUUUCUGUGCAAGGGUAAUCCGCGCAGAGUGAGUCGGCCCCUAAGGCGAGGACGAAAGUCGUAGUCGAUGGGAAGCAGGUUAAUAUUCCUGCACCUGGCAAGUGUUGACGGAAAAAAUAAAUUGUAAGUCCUUAAAGGUUUGGUCUUGCAUGAGUUUUUUCCCAAGAAAUAGCCUUGUCGUUUAGACCGUACCCCAAACCGACACUGGUGGACUGGUAGAGCAUACUAAGGCGCUUGAGAGAAUGAUGUUGAAGGAACUCGGCAAAUUGACCUUGUAACUUCGGGAUAAAAGGUGCCUUUUUUAGGGAAACCUAUGAAAGGUGGCACAUAAGAGGGGGUAGCGACUGUUUAUCUAAAACACAGGACUCUGCAAAGAAGAAAUUCGACGUAUAGGGUCUGACGCCUGCCCGGUGCUGGAAGGUUAAAAGGAGGUGUGCAAGCAUCGAAUUGAAGCCCCAGUAAACGGCGGCCGUAAAACUAACGGUCCUAAGGUAGCGAAAUUCCUUGUCGGAUAAGUUCCGACCCGCAUGAAUGGCGUAACGACUUCCCCACUGUCUCCAACAUCAACUCAGUGAAAUUGAAUUCCCCGUGAAGAUGCGGGGUACCCGCGGUUAGACGGAAAGACCCCGUGCACCUUUACU